RNAcentral lists this ribosomal RNA (473 nucleotides) under uncultured bacterium. RNAcentral's name for it is "bacterial SSU rRNA". It matches the Rfam family "Bacterial small subunit ribosomal RNA", at positions 28 to 507 of the family's 1533-position model. The record is from RNAcentral.
GAUGAACGCUGGCGGCGUGCCUCAAACAUGCAAGUCGAGCGGGGCUAUGUAAUAUCGCAAGGUAGAACAUAGCCUAGCGGCGAACGGGUGAGUAACACGUGGGUAACCUGCCUGGAAGACAGGGAUAACGAUUCGAAAGGGUCGCUAAUACCUGAUAAUAUCCUUUCAUCGCAUGGUGAUAGGAAGAAAGGGGAAACCCGCUUUCAGAUGGGCCCGCGUCCCAUCAGCUAGUUGGUAAGGUAAAGGCUUACCAAGGCGACGACGGGUAGCCGGUCUGAGAGGAUGUACGGCCACACUGGGACUGAGAUACGGCCCAGACUCCUACGGGAGGCAGCAGUUGGGAAUCUUAGGCAAUGGACGAAAGUCUGACCUAGCGACGCCGCGUGAGGGAAGAAGGCCUUCGGGUUGUAAACCUCUGUCAUGGGGAAGAAGUAAGUGACGGUACCCAACGAGGAAGCCCUGCUAACUACGUG